Molecule: long non-coding RNA, 4977 nt
Filed under: Canis lupus familiaris (dog)
Lineage: Eukaryota; Metazoa; Chordata; Mammalia; Carnivora; Canidae
Description: lncRNA (ENSCAFG00040000146.1)
Source: RNAcentral
AUGCAUAAACAACUUGAUAGACAAAAGCUCUCGGCUCUAAUUAUUUCCACUUCUCUACAGCCACUUCCUCCCUUUGUCAAUGUAUAUGUGUAUACUUGCAGCUCCCACUUCCCACAGUCUAGCCCCGCUUCCUGCACUGGCCUGGCUGUUCCGUCCCCCACCGAUGGCCGCAGAGCAUACGAUUCCAGGAUUCCUCCUCUGUUUCAGGAGCCCCUCCCUUCUCCCCUUCAUGUGUCAAGACAUCAGGACCUCAAAUUUGGCUGGCAAUUUCUCUGGGUGAAGCAGGGAGCAUCACACAUUACCCCCCAGAGUCACUAUGGUCAUCCCCAAAUGUGUCCUCAGCGUCUAUCAGCGACUUGUCCUCCUGGGGCUUCAUGACGGAUUCUCGGCAGUCCUGAAUCCUACGGACUGCUUACAGACUCUGUACAGAUUGGCACUUUUCCCUGUUCUUUUUUCUUCUUAAAAAUGUUGAAUAAAGAAUCACUCAUGGUGUUUCAUAGUUGAUGUUGGCAACUGCCUAUUUCUCACACAUAUACUAUACGUCUACCAUUUCACUUGUGGCAAAGGGAAACCCACGUCUGUAUGGUUCAAGAUAGAAACAAUCUCAAAGGUUUAAGAUGGAGGCCAAGUUGGUUUGGGGCUUAUUUUUCCAAAAGCUGUAAAGAUAAACAGGAAGUGACUGUGCAGCACACUCUGGCUUUCAACAAGAUGGAAUGACUUUCUCUCCCCACACUGAUGAAGGGGAACAGAAUAUGUCACACCAUAUGAUGCCACUUUGGCAUUUUGAUUAUCUUGAAUUAAAAGAACUUGAGGAACAGUCAGUGAAAAAAGGACACUCUGACACUUUCCUUUGCCUCUUGAAAGCAGGAGAUAAAUCUCUGUGAGGUACCCUCUGUACCAGGAGGGUAGAAGUCACCCUUAUCACCAGACAUAGGGAAUUUAGAGCCAAGAAAGCUAUAUGAACAAAGCUUAUCACUUUACCAAUUUAUUACCCUCAGGCCCAAACCUUUUAUCUUGUCAAUUUUUCACAAAUUUAUUGUUUCUUUGUCUAAAAGGCAUAAGAGCUUCCUGCUUUAGUCACCUCUUUGAGCCUCAAAGUAUCUGUAUGUACGAAAUUAAAUUUGUUUUCUCCUAUGAAUCUGUCUUAUGCCAAUUCAAUUAUUAGACCAGCCAAAGAACUUAAAAAGAAAGAAGGGAAAAAUUUUCCACCCCUACCAUGACGUCCCUACCAGGGAGUUAUUUCACUAAGAUGUUCUUGAAUUAAUAAUGACAAUGAUUCUCCUGAGAGGAAAGCAGUUGUUUGCUUACAAGGGUUUCUGAUUUGAUUCUUGGGCACCUGUGAAAGCAGCUGUUGUCAGUAAUGCUGGGAUGUGCCUGUAGAUUUCUGGUCCUACAGACUCUGCUGGGUAUGAUAUGAGAAGAGAUCAAAAAAGAAGGCUUGUGCAUUAGUUAAGCUCUUGAUACUAUGCCAAGCACAUAAUAGGCACGCAGUAAAUGUUGUCAACUGGUUGGAUAAAUCAGCAUUUAGGCAUUAUCUAUGUGACUCAAUUUCUUUCUUUUCUUUCUCUUUCUUUCUUUUCUAUCUAUGUCUGUUUAUCUUUUUUUUUUUUUUUUUUUUUUUUUUUAGUGCCACUGGGAAGUGAGGCAGAGAGAUGGGGGAAAGAGAAUCCCAAGCAGACUCCUCACUGAAUGUGGAGCUUGAUAUAGGGCUUAAUCCCAUGACCCUGAGAUGAUGACCUGAGUUGAACCCAAAAGUUGGACACUCAACUGACUGAGCCACCCAGCCACAGCCACCUACUUGUGUGAUCCAAUAUCCAGAGGUUUUGUGAAAGGUCUACUCCCAGCUCCCAAACUUCCUAUUACCUUUACUGGGAAGCCUAGAAUUCCUCCAUAAUUGCUUGUGGCUUAAAACCUUGCUCCUUGUCAUAUGUUACCAACACUCAACAUUAAGGAAGUCUUUGGAGGAUAGUGGGAUAUAGGAGUAAUUUUUCUGGGUUUGUUGUGUUUCUUGCAGUAUGCAUUUGGAACAAUGGAGUCCUUUGAGGGCAGGGACCAGGCCUUUCAUCCCUUGUGUCCCUUAGGUCUUGCACAGAAUACACCACCCCAAAAUCUGCCUCUUUGGCACAGAGGUUAUUUUGAGAAACAGCAGACACAUGAGAAGUUCUGGAAACAGAGUAGGAGUUAGUGGUAAGGAACAUUUUUAUUUGUAAAGGGAAUCUUCAUUUGCAAGCAUGUCUCCCUCUCUGCACCAGGAAGAGAAGGAUGGUUCUAAAUCACAAGAGACUCUUGUCACUAGAGAAGGCUUGGCUCCAAUCUGCAUAACAACCUUGCCCUUGGUCACCAUGCAUUUUCUGGUAACUUUCCAUAGCUGGUCUCCCUCUACCUCUCACCACACAUAAGCUUUCUCUGUCUUUAGCUGAGGAUGGUAUUUAUACUGGUUGUAGGCCACCUCAGGGGAAUAACUCAUUUUUCUCUGUGUAUCUCCCAUAUCUUUAUGAGGUAUGCAUGUUAAUAAACUUAUGUUUGUUUUCCUCUUAUUAAUCUGUCUUAUUACGGGGGGGGGGUCUCAGCUGAGAGCUCAGAAGGAUAGAAAGCAAAUUAUAUUAGUAGGCAGUUAAGAAAUGUCCUCUGAACAAGCAACAGAGAAAAGGAACUCUUGUCUUGUUAGUGGUUAGCGUAGGGAUUGGUACACAACGGGUGCUCACUGAUGGCUUUUUCAGUGGAGGGCCAGACAAAUGGUUUUUCAGGAACACUCGGAAGUGAGAGGCAUUUUGGUCUGGAAAAGUACAGAUUCAGGCUGGAGAAAGAGGCUUUUAAAUAUAUUCCAAUCACACUCAACUGCUGACGAACUUGCUUCCAAAAUAUUAAUUUCCUCCCUUUGAUUCAGUAUAUCUCUGAGCAGAGUAAGAUGUUUAUCAGUGAGUCCUUGGAGAGAUCCCGAAGCCAGCACUCAGGCCUUUGGGAGAGAACCAAAGAGUUGUGAAAUGUUUUGUGUGGGACAGCUGGAGGCCCUGUGACUCUUGGCUUCUUCUCCCACCUUCUGCAUCCCAUCAGGGAAAGGACAUUAGACUUUGUUAAGCAUUUACUCCACAAGGAUUAUUCCCUGUGGUAUCAAAUUUAAACCACAGAACAACUCUAGACAGUGGGUAUUAUUCUUUCUUUACAUAUGGAAACUAACCCUUAGGGAGGUUAGAUAACUGGCCCCAGCUUAUGUGUGUGGGAGGAUAGGUGGCAAAACUGGAGUGCAAACAGAGUCUCAAAGCUUGUGUGUUGCACCACACUGCCCCGUGCAAGACUGCAUGAUGUCAGCACAUAAUAUCCACUGGGCUGACCAUGUGCACUUUGCAGGCACGAGAUGGGACCUGGAAGUACCUCCAUCUUACAGAUAAGGAAAAAGGCCCAAGGCCACCCAGCUGGAGCUCAGGAGCCAGGACUUGAACCCAAGGUCCAAGCCUGCCAGUCCCACUGGCUCCUCCCAUGAUGGUCUCACUGCAGCUAUGAUAUUCUUGGCACAGACCACCCAGUAGUUGCAUACUAGGCCUCCCUGAGUCUUGUGUGCCUUCAAUUUAUCCCCUGCCCCAACCCACCACUAUUUCUUAAGUUGCUUUUCUAAGUCCCAGAUCUGACCAUGCCAGUGCCCAUACCAAGGGAGCAGCAGGUGCUUCUGGAAGAUGCAUUCUUCCCCAAGUGCAAACACAAUCAGGAAAGCCAUUCCUUCCCACAAAUACUUACUCUUAAAUAAAAUGAUCUUUUUUAAAAAGUGUAUUAAGCAUUGUUAGUAAAAUUCAACCAAGUAAAUUUUAAAGAACUUAUUGGCUUUAUUCAACCAUUCAUGAGUCAGACAGUAUCCCACCUAGCGGAUAGAAAGUAGUUCUAAGGAGCCACACAAAUCAGAAGACCUACAUAGGUAGAAGGGGGCAGGACAGGAAGUUAUCAGCAAGGUGUGGAUUGUUUCAGGCAAGAUCACCUUCCUUCAGAGGAAGGCAGGGGUCUAUGAGGUAGAUGACCUCUCUGGUGCUGACAGGUAAUUCCAGGUUGACAGGUUAAGAUUACAUUCCCAAAGGAGGCUGAGACUGCAGUUCGGUGACAUGGACUUAGCACAAGCGACUCCAUUUUAGGUUUGUUACCUUUUUUUUUUUUUUAACAAUUCUCCCCUUUUGAUCAGACUCACAGUUUAUCUAGAGGCAUGAUCAAGAUGUAAGGCAUUAGCAUCACUCCAAGCUACGGCUCUGAAGUUCUUGCAGUUUUUGCUGAUCCUCUGUGGUAUCCGCAAGUUAUAGGAUCUUUUUGCUGAAUCUCUAUGAACCUCACAAGUCAUGACCUCGGGCUCACUUUUUUUAAAGAUGGUCAUUCUCUUUGUUCCUUUUUUGACAUUCCAGUCUUGGGGAGAUCAUUUGCUUGGUGAUUAGCAGCUGCAAACACACAUUUAAAGCUUUUGAGAGAAUACAGUAUACCAGGGAGACUAUUGUGAUCAUUAUAAGCAGGAUCAUUCUCAAUGUCUGGAGUGCACUUUGGAGCCAUGAUCCCCAACACCCAAACCAAUCAAAAUCAAAUAGUCCUAAAAAGACUCCAUUGGAAGCAUCACUUUCUUAAGCCAAAUGGCUCAUUCAGUAAUAUUGUGGAGCUGAGUUUCAACUUCCACCAAAGUGUUUUUUUUUAAUUUAUUUUUUAUUGGUGUUCAAUUUACUAACAUACAGAAUAACCCCCAGUGCCCGUCACCCAUUCACUCCCACCCCCCGCCCUUCUCCCCUUCCACCACCCCUAGUUCGUUUCCCAGAGUUAGCAGUCUUUAUGUUCUGUCUCCCUUUCUGAUAUUUCCCACACAUUUCUUCUCCCUUCCCUUAUAUUCCCUUUCACUAUUAUUUAUAUUCCCCAAAUGAAUGAGAACAUAUAAUGUUUGUCCUUCACCGACUGACUUACUUCACUCAGCAUAACCCAGGUGUAGCAAGUGGUAUUGGCCACAACCCAGAUGUCUCC